UACGUAGGGAGCAAGCGUUGUCCGGAAUCAUUGGGCGUAAAGCGCGCGUAGGCGGCCUCAUAAGUCCGUUGUGAAAGUCAAAGGCUCAACCUUUGAAAGCCGAUGGAUACUGUGAAGCUAGAGUACGGAAGAGGCGAGUGGAAUUCCUGGUGUAGCGGUGGAAUGCGCAGAUAUCAGGAGGAACACCAAUAGCGAAGGCAGCUCGCUGGGACGUUACUGACACUGAGGCGCGAAAGCGUGGGGAGCGAACAGG
RNAcentral lists this ribosomal RNA (253 nucleotides) under uncultured bacterium. RNAcentral describes it as "partial 16S ribosomal RNA". It matches the Rfam family "Bacterial small subunit ribosomal RNA", at positions 524 to 776 of the family's 1533-position model. The record is from RNAcentral.